Molecule: long non-coding RNA, 2324 nt
Organism: Raphanus sativus (radish)
Lineage: Eukaryota; Viridiplantae; Streptophyta; Magnoliopsida; Brassicales; Brassicaceae
Exons: 4
Source: RefSeq, a predicted model, not a curated record
AAAUGCCUGCUUGUUUUUGGUCGGAUUAUUAAGCUUAUUGUUUUUUCUAUAUUUUCCGUUGUUUUAUUUAUUGAAAACAAAAAAUAAAAAUUUAAUAUGAAAACCUCUUUUGAAAAAGGAAACAUUUUAAAAAUAGAACAAAAAUUCAACAUGGUUGUCCAUAUAGUAUGAAACCAUUUUAAAUUGUCUCUUUAGUAUAAUAUUUUUCAUAAUCCUAAAACUAACCCUUGUUGAAAAAUAUUAUACUAUAUGUACAACCAUUAGUUUUUAUAAAAAAUUAAAAUUAACAAAAAGUUUUUAAUAAAAACGUUAAAUAAACUUUAUAAAUACGUUUUACAAAGUUUUAUUUUUUAUAAAAAGUUUAAAACUUUGUAAUCUUAUAGUUUUAUUAAAACUUUUAAUAAAAAUAAAAAUAGAACAAGAAUUUGUGAAAAUUACAAGAUAAACUAUGGAGACAUCCUAGAUUGAUAAAGAAGAAAACACAGAAAAUAAUAUUUUUUGAUUUUUUUUUUUUUGCAAAAAAGCGAUCAAAACACGUUUUAGGAAAUUAUAAUAUUUUACGUAACUGAAAUUUCCUUAAUUUUUGCAAUAAACAUAUUUUCUUACGUAGAUGACACAUUCUACUUUUUCAGAACAACGACAAAAAUCUUGAAUGCAAUUUAUACCUUAUGUAGACAUAUGAGUGAAUUCUAGAUUUUGCAUUCCCGAAACUUUAGAAUACUUCAUAAAAAUAGAAUCUACACUCCAUAGAAAAGUGGCUAUCUUUAUGAAUAGUAGAAUUUACAUUCUCUUUAUUUAAAAUUUUAAUAAAAACUAGAUUGUUCGUUCAAAAAAAGUAGAUGAGCAUGUUGAAUCUAAAAUUUGUUUUCUACUAACUCAUUUUUCUAUACUUUUAGUAGAACGUAAUUUAAAAUUUUUAUUUAUUAAAUUUUUCAACAAAAAAAAUAUCAGUUUGUGUAUAUGAGUGUUUUAUUAAUUGUUUAUAUUUUUAUAAUUUUUUUGAUUCACAAAACUAUUUAUUUCAUUAAUUUUUAGAAAUAUAAAAGGUAAAAGAGAGAUAAAAUAGACAAAAUUGAUUUUAUACUAUGUUCCGUUUCGAUAAUUUUCCCUUUUAAAAACAUGGUUUUUUCUCAAUGAUUUCUUUUUACUCAUUAAAACGUGUAUUCAUGGUGGAGUCAGAAGAAAGUGUAUUCAUGGCUCCAUGAUAUAAGGUUAGGUGACAAGUCCAAUAAUUGCACUUAAAAGUAUCGACUUUUCCGCAUCGAGUUAAAGUCUAUAAAACGGGACCCUUGUUAGAGCAUGCCCAUUGGGGGCUUUUAAAGGGUUCAUGGGUUCGGGUUCAUAGAGCCGGACAAGGAAAAAUAAAUCGAAAAUGAGCUAAUUUCGGUGACCCGAGUCUUACGCAUGAUCCGUUCUUAGCCGGGUUCAAGACACGUGUUGGGUUUGUUUCUCUGAAAGGCGAUUGAGAGGCGAUUCAGGUGCGACGGCGAUUUCCGAAGCUUUUGACCAUCAAAUCGACGACGAACGGUCCCCUCCACGAGCUCAGAGAUGGAUCCCGCAGCAGAGAGAAGAGACAUGAAGAGGAACAUUGAGUACAACAACAGCUUGAUGUAUGUUGCUGAUUCAGAGUACGGGAUACCAACAAGGUGUUACUGUGGUGGGAGAAUGAUUGACGAGGUUCAGGCGAAGGAGGAGAAAGACCCUACCCAUCUAACUGCAAGCGAAAUCACCCUCAUGGACAAACUCAUUUCUGAUAUGAUUUGAGAUGGGUCACGGGCUGGAGUUCAAGUUGUAUGGCAGGAAGGAAAUGCACAUGUUUAUUAGCUUUAUGGUUGUUGUGUUUCACGGGAAAGUGUAGUAUUUUGUUUCUUUCUACACUUCAUUUCAAUUAACUUGUCUUGUUUGGUUUCUUUCUACUUUGUACUUGUUUGGUUGCUCACGGGUAGCAACCACAUGUCUUGAACUUGUAUCGGCUAUGUAUUGUCUUCACUCUGCAAACUCUAUAUAUAAAGCAGGGUGUUUGUUUCAUAAAUUUGCUCACUCUUGUAUCAGUCUCUUCUUUACUGUAUCACUCUUGUAUCAGUCUCUUCUUCACUCUAUCAUUCUUCUCUCAAAGUAUCAAGAGAACUAUCACUCUUCUCUCUAUCACUCUUCUCUCCAACAACACUAUCAACAACACUCUUCUCUCUAUCACUCUUCUCUCCAACAACACUAUCAACAACACUCUUCUCUCUAUCACUCUUCUCUCCAACAACACAAUCAACAACACUCUUAUCUCCAAGUAUCAAGAGAACUAUCAAGACAAAUAUACUCUCCAAUGCAAA